AUUUUUAUUUUAGAGACGGGAAAGACUGAGUAAAUGUGAGAAAAUUAGCUGAAUAGCCACUACUUUUUUUCUGGCAUAACCUACCCCUGCUUAAGAACUUCCACGGGCCUUUGAUUGGGGUUUUUAACCACUUUAACAAACCAUGUAACCCUGAGAGCUAUACUUGUUGGACAACAUGGUGUAAUGUACCACAGGCUGUAGAGCCAGAUACUGGGGUUUGAAUCCUUAUUCAACAUGGGAACAUAGGAGCUAUAUGACAUUAAACAACUGUCUUGUCUUCACUAAAUUUCUAUCAACUCAUUUGUAUUGUGGAGAUAAUAGAGCCUGCUUUUACAGGGUAAGUGAGAUAAAAUGAAUAAAGUGUCUAGACAAUAUCAUAGCAUAGUAGGUAUUCAAUCCUGGUGAGAUCCUGUUUAUAAGGCCCACUACUUCGUUUUAUCAGACAGAAUAACAAAGGAACAAUAUUUAAAAAGCAACUAGCUCAAAUCUGUCCCCAGAAGGAAAAACAUAUCUUGUCCUUGGUCCUUAAAAAAUUUCCUCUGUCACUGUCUAGAAGCACAGCACCUAAGAACACAGGCGUUUAGUGUUGACUGGAAUAAAAUGGAAUCAGGUGCUGGUGCAGGGAGAUUGAGCAGGGAUGAAGAGAGAAAGUCACAGAGUGGAAAGGUUCAGGUUUGGAGAGUUCAAUGGGGGGGAGCCAGGACAUAAGCCUAAUAUUUGUGGGACAAGGAAACCCCUCUGAAACUCAUAAAAUGGCAUUUUAAUACCCAUCUACGAGGUGGUUAAGAGAAUUAAUAAGUAAGUAGAACUGUGCUUUGUGAAUUGUAAAGUGAAUUUAUAUAUAAGGUGUCAAGAUGAAAGGGAAAAACUAAGAAAUAAGUUGCCCAAAGAUAUCAUUAGGACCAGGAGACCAUUAUAAAGCAUAUCCAGGCCGGGCGCGGUGGCUCACGCCUGUAAUCCCAGCACUUUGGGUGGCCGAAGCAGGCGGAUCACAAGGUCAGGAGUUCAAGACCAGCCUGGCCAACAUGGAGAAACCCUGUCUCUACUAAAAAUACAAAAAAUUAGCCAGGCAUGGUGGCGCAUGCCUCUAAUCCCAGCUACUCGGGUGGCUGAGGCAGGAGAAUUGCUUGAACCCGGGAGGCUGGAGUGCAGUGGCAUCAUCUUGGUUCACUGUAACUUCUGCCUCUCAGGUCCAAACAAUCCUCCCACCUCAGCCUCCCGAAUAACUGGAACUACAGGGAUGCACCACCACACCCAGCUGAUUUUUUAAUUUUUUUUGUAGAGAUGGGAUUUUGCCAUGUUGCCCAGGCUGGUUUUGAACUCCUGGGUUCAAGCCAUCUGCCCACCUCAGCUUCCCAAAAAGCUGGGAUUACAGGCUUGAGCCACUGCACCCAGCCUGUUGAUCAUGUUCAUUAAUCUGUUUGAACUCCAUAUAUUAAGGAAAUUAGUCCUUUGUCAAAUAUGUUGGAAAUAUUCCCUCCAGUUUGUCACUUACUUUCAUUUUGUUGGUGGUUUUUCUGUUUUGUUUUUGUUUUUCUGUGGGUUUUUUUUUUUUUUUUUUUUUUUUGCCAUGGACAUGUCUUUAGUACUUAUGUAGUAGUCAGAUGUAUUACUCAUUUUUUCUAUGCUCUGGAUCUUAUGCUUUGAAUGGCUUUUUGUGAAUUCCAAUAUUUUAAAAAUAAUUUACCCCUAGCUUCAGUUCUUACAUUUAAAUUUUUGUUCCUUCUGGAAUUUUAGUGAAUGUGGACAAGGUUAUGCUUCAGUUGCCUUAACUAGUUGCCUUGGCAUCAUUAAUAAGUUUUCUUUUCCUCUACUG
This 1816-nucleotide small RNA is filed under the name Pan troglodytes (chimpanzee). Its description in RNAcentral is "processed transcript". Lineage: Eukaryota; Metazoa; Chordata; Mammalia; Primates; Hominidae. The record is from RNAcentral.